CGGUUCGAUUCCCAUUCUCUCCAUCCUCUCACACUGCUCCUCGUAGAAAUACUCCAGCUCAAACAUGGAGAGGACGCCGUCACCAUCCAGGUCCAUGCAGCGGAACCAAUACUCGAUGCUGCAGAGACGAUUUAGAGAUAUGAGGAACCAGACGAACUCGGCGUAGCUCAUCCUGCCUUCCCUUUGCACAGCACUGCCCCUGAAAACAAGGGAAUCACACUCUUACAUGUUCUAGUGAGGUCAUCGGGUCACCCGUUUGUGUUUAUGGGUGUGUCUCCACUCACCGAGUAACCGCCCCUGAAAACAGCCUCUCAAUAAUCCUGUGUGAGGAGGCUGUCAGAGGAGAGAAUGAGCGUUCCUGCAGAGGAGGAGCAGCACAAACCGCCCGGGUGUUCAGUUUAUGGACUCCCAACAGCGUCUGGUAAAGAAAAGAAUCCUCUACAGGCUCCAGGAGGAAGAAUUUCCUGCCCCUCCCUCGUCAUCUCACAUAGCUGCACCUUGUUGGGACACAUUUGCAGAGCCACACGGAAAAAUUCUGCAAAACCGCGUUAGAAUGGACACGGACAAGAAAAGCCUCAGCACUAUGACACCAUAAACCCGUUCUUAUUUUACCUAUUUUGAAUGAAACAGUGCUUCACAAAACCAAAGGUAUGUGAGCCUUGUAUCUUUACUUUUAAA
Long non-coding RNA from Oryzias melastigma (Indian medaka), 678 nucleotides. RefSeq lists it as uncharacterized. The transcript has 3 exons. Lineage: Eukaryota; Metazoa; Chordata; Actinopteri; Beloniformes; Adrianichthyidae. The record is from RefSeq and is a predicted model, not a curated record.